CUGGCAUUCACGCACUUCCGUGUAUAUUAACGCAGGCACAGUAGCCUGCUUCCCUGUCUUCUCCCUCGCAGGAGCUGCAAGUUACGCUUAAGUGAUGCUGCCGUUUUGUCCUCUUUUGUUGCCUUCAAUUACGUUUCACUGUCCGUUGCUCACUCGCACCGUGCACGCGCACGUGAUCUGCCGGCGCCGCGCUGAAGGUGUGCGCCAGGACUUCUGUUUUGCUCCGCGCGUCCGUACGCGGCAGAUCUGCCCGUCUGCCCCGCUCCUUGGGAGUCAACGGACUAAGGACAUUACACUGGAUACUGACUACCUUGACACUUGUCCAAGUGGAUUAUUGUUGUUGUACUCCUGUGUAUGUGUAUAGAUCUGGCACCUUAUUGAAUCCUCAUUUUAAUAUUCAUUGUGUUUGUUUCAGGAGCUGAGUGUCCGGUCUGGUGUUGGUCGUGGUUCU
Molecule: long non-coding RNA, 451 nt
Organism: Periophthalmus magnuspinnatus
Lineage: Eukaryota; Metazoa; Chordata; Actinopteri; Gobiiformes; Gobiidae
Exons: 3
Source: RefSeq, a predicted model, not a curated record